AGCUCAAUUGGUUAGAGCAGGGCGCUCAUAACGCCUUGGUUGGGGGUUCGAGUCCCUCC
This 59-nucleotide transfer RNA is filed under the name Maritimibacter sp. RNAcentral describes it as "tRNA-Ile". It matches the Rfam family "tRNA", at positions 9 to 64 of the family's 71-position model. Rfam says of the family: Transfer RNA (tRNA) molecules are approximately 80 nucleotides in length. The record is from RNAcentral. Lineage: Bacteria; Pseudomonadati; Pseudomonadota; Alphaproteobacteria; Rhodobacterales; Roseobacteraceae.